RNAcentral lists this ribosomal RNA (253 nucleotides) under uncultured bacterium. RNAcentral's name for it is "partial 16S ribosomal RNA". It matches the Rfam family "Bacterial small subunit ribosomal RNA", at positions 524 to 776 of the family's 1533-position model. The record is from RNAcentral.
UACGUAGGGUGCAAGCGUUAAUCGGAAUUACUGGGCGUAAAGCGUGCGCAGGCGGUUUUGUAAGACUGUCGUGAAAUCCCCGGGCUUAACCUGGGAACUGCGUUUGUGACUGCAUCGCUGGAGUGCGGCAGAGGGGGAUGGAAUUCCGCGUGUAGCAGUGAAAUGCGUAGAUAUGCGGAGGAACACCGAUGGCGAAGGCAAUCCCCUGGGCCUGCACUGACGCUCAUGCACGAAAGCGUGGGGAGCAAACAGG